RNAcentral lists this transfer RNA (68 nucleotides) under Heliomicrobium modesticaldum Ice1. Its description in RNAcentral is "tRNA-Phe (AAA) (tRNA-Phe-AAA-1-1)". It matches the Rfam family "tRNA". From Rfam's summary of the family: Transfer RNA (tRNA) molecules are approximately 80 nucleotides in length. Their secondary structure includes four short double-helical elements and three loops (D, anti-codon, and T loops). Further hydrogen bonds mediate the characteristic L-shaped molecular structure. tRNAs have two regions of fundamental functional importance: the anti-codon, which is responsible for specific mRNA codon recognition, and the 3' end, to which the tRNAs corresponding amino acid is attached (by aminoacyl-tRNA synthetases). tRNAs cope with the degeneracy of the genetic code in two manners: having more than one tRNA (with a specific anti-codon) for a particular amino acid; and 'wobble' base-pairing, i.e. permitting non-standard base-pairing at the 3rd anti-codon position. Lineage: Bacteria; Bacillati; Bacillota; Clostridia; Eubacteriales; Heliobacteriaceae. The record is from RNAcentral.
GCGGGUGUGCUCGCGGAGGAGCACCGGUCAAAAACCGGUCUGCGUGGGUUCAACUCCCACCAUCCGCG